This 399-nucleotide ribosomal RNA is filed under the name uncultured microorganism. RNAcentral describes it as "bacterial SSU rRNA". It matches the Rfam family "Archaeal small subunit ribosomal RNA", at positions 330 to 735 of the family's 1478-position model. The record is from RNAcentral.
GCGCAGCAGGCGCGAAUCCUCCGCAAUACACGAAAGUGUGACGGGGUUACCCAAAGUGUCCAAAUUUGGACUGUGGUAGGUGAGUAAUGUCCCCUACUAGAAAGGAGAGGGCAAGGCUGGUGCCAGCCACCGCGGUAAAACCAGCUCUUCAAGUGGUCGGGAUAAUUAUUGGGCUUAAAGUGUCCGUAGCCGGUUUAGUAAGUUCCUGGUAAAAUCGGGUAGCUUAACUAUCUGUAUGCUAGGAAUACUGCUAUACUAGAGGGCGGGAGAGGUCUGAGGUACUACAGGGGUAGGGGUGAAAUCCUGUAAUCCUUGUAGGACCACCAGUGGCGAAGGCGUCAGACUGGAACGCGCCUGACGGUGAGGGACGAAAGCCAGGGGAGCGAACCGGAUUAGAUA